UGCCUGCAUAUUGUUUCUAUGUGGCCUUGA
This 30-nucleotide non-coding RNA is filed under the name Mus musculus (house mouse). Lineage: Eukaryota; Metazoa; Chordata; Mammalia; Rodentia; Muridae. The record is from RNAcentral.